RNAcentral lists this ribosomal RNA (489 nucleotides) under uncultured Sphingobacteriales bacterium. RNAcentral's name for it is "bacterial SSU rRNA". It matches the Rfam family "Bacterial small subunit ribosomal RNA", at positions 894 to 1382 of the family's 1533-position model. The record is from RNAcentral. Lineage: Bacteria; Pseudomonadati; Bacteroidota; Sphingobacteriia; Sphingobacteriales.
CAGAAACUACAAAGGAAGUUGACGGGGCCCGCACAAGCGGAGGAGCAUGUGGUUUAAUUCGAUGAUACGCGAGGAACCUUACCUGGGCUCGAACGUAAGAUGACUGUAGGUGAAAGCUUACAUCUCUUCGGAGCAUUUUACGAGGUGCUGCAUGGCUGUCGUCAGCUCGUGCCGCGAGGUGUCGGGUUAAGUCCCAUAACGAGCGCAACCCCUACCUUUAGUUGCCAUCAGGUUAAGCUGGGGACUCUAAAGGAACUGCCUACGCAAGUAGUGAGGAAGGCGGGGAUGACGUCAAAUCAGCACGGCCCUUACGUCCAGGGCUACACACGUGCUACAAUGGCCGAUACAGAGGGCAGCUACCUGGUGACAGGAUGCAAAUCUCCAAAGUCGGUCUCAGUUCGGAUCGGAGUCUGCAACCCGACUCCGUGAAGUUGGAUUCGCUAGUAAUCGCGCAUCAGCCAUGGCGCGGUGAAUACGUUCCCGGGCCUU